ACAUGCAAGUCGAGCGGAAACGAUGGUAGCUUGCUACCAGGCGUCGAGCGGCGGACGGGUGAGUAACGCGUAGGAAUCUACCUAGUAGUGGGGGACAACCAGUGGAAACGCUGGCUAAUACCGCAUACGCCCUACGGGGGAAAGGAGGGGAUCUUCGGACCUUUCGCUAUUAGAUGAGCCUGCGUCGGAUUAGCUAGUUGGUGGGGUAAAGGCUCACCAAGGCGACGAUCCGUAGCUGGUCUGAGAGGAUGAUCAGCCACACUGGGACUGAGACACGGCCAGACUCCUACGGGAGGGAGCAGNGGGGAAUAUUGGACAAUGGGCGCAAGCCUGAUCCAGCCAUGCCGNGUGUGUGAAGAAGGCCUUCGGGUUGUNAAGCACUUUCAGCCGAGGAGGAAAGGUUGUAAGUUAAUACCUUGCAACUGUGACGUUACUCGCAGAAGAAGCACCGGCUAACUUCCGUGCCAGCAGCCGCGGUAAUACCGGAGGGUGCAAGCGUUAAUCGGAAANUACUGGGCGUAAA
RNAcentral lists this ribosomal RNA (523 nucleotides) under uncultured Gammaproteobacteria bacterium. RNAcentral describes it as "bacterial SSU rRNA". It matches the Rfam family "Bacterial small subunit ribosomal RNA", at positions 53 to 564 of the family's 1533-position model. Lineage: Bacteria; Pseudomonadati; Pseudomonadota; Gammaproteobacteria. The record is from RNAcentral.